CCUUUGUACACACCGCCCGUCGCUACUACCGAUUGAAUGGCUUAGUGAGGCCCUCGGAUCGAUGUUCGGAGACUGGCAACAGUUUCCGUUCGUUGAGAAGUUGGUCAAACUUGGUCAUUUAGAGG
This 125-nucleotide ribosomal RNA is filed under the name Glomus sp. RNAcentral's name for it is "partial small subunit ribosomal RNA". It matches the Rfam family "Eukaryotic small subunit ribosomal RNA", at positions 1657 to 1779 of the family's 1831-position model. Lineage: Eukaryota; Fungi; Glomeromycota; Glomeromycetes; Glomerales; Glomeraceae. The record is from RNAcentral.